Molecule: long non-coding RNA, 743 nt
Organism: Sus scrofa (pig)
Lineage: Eukaryota; Metazoa; Chordata; Mammalia; Artiodactyla; Suidae
Source: RefSeq, a predicted model, not a curated record
UCAGGGGCGCACACAUCCCUCUUUGUAGACUUGGCACAGUCCCUAAAGGAAUGGAGGGACGGUUUAUUUUGUGCAUAAAUGUGGCUGAGAGAGAAAAUGAGAGGAAUGAGCGUGGGGAAGGGCAGAUUUGUAACAGCUAAAAUAAUCUGGUCGCCAUGCCUUCUCUCUGCUUGCAUAGCUUUCAGAAACUUCUUAAUACAAGUACCAAAGUCUGGAAGUUUCCUCGACUAGGAUCGGCCGGCUCCUUCCUGUGCUCUUUUCCUUCCCUGGAGGCAAUUAGGAGAGGACAGAAUAAAAGCCUCAAACGAUGGAAAGAGUUACGAUUCUGUCCUGGUGUCCUGUAUAGAAAACGUGGCCACCCACCCUGCAGCUGUUCACACUGGGAGCGCUGGAGCAUGAACUGAAUCACCGAAGGUCCCCUCUUGAGGCAAAGGCUUGGAGAAAGAGGCGGAUCCCACACAAAGGGAAUACCGAUUUCUGAGAAGUGCUUAAGAUGAACUCUCUGGGAUCCUGGUAAGAACGUCCCCAACCUUCCCCUCCUUUUAGGGUCCAGGUGAUGCACUGUUAGAGUCAUGGUGAUGGAAUCCUAAGCAGGAUCGAGCUUAUGUUAGACACAUCAGCAGGGGGAGAAUUCUGAAAGGGAGUCAAACCUGCAGCGAUUGAUGAACUGGAGCACCACGGCCUUGGGGAACACCUUCCCUUUGCCAAUCUAGAGGGUAAGACUGCCUAUGAGGCAGGCUGGG